Molecule: small nuclear RNA, 122 nt
Filed under: Strigamia maritima
Lineage: Eukaryota; Metazoa; Arthropoda; Chilopoda; Geophilomorpha; Linotaeniidae
Description: U5 spliceosomal RNA
Rfam family: U5 spliceosomal RNA
About the family: U5 RNA is a component of both types of known spliceosome. The precise function of this molecule is unknown, though it is known that the 5' loop is required for splice site selection and p220 binding, and that both the 3' stem-loop and the Sm site are important for Sm protein binding and cap methylation.
Source: Rfam by way of RNAcentral
CACUUCUUGCUUCUGGUCAAAAAGUGGAAAAGACUUUCGCCUUUUACUAAAGUCUUCCGUGGCCAGGAGUGCUAAAUGAGUCUGUAGACAUUUUUUUGAAAGUUCUGUUUUCGGAUGGGACA